ACCCUUUUAACUCAAUGGUAGAGUAACGCCAUGGUAAAGUAAGUCAUGGGUUCAAAUCCGAUAAGGGGCU
Molecule: transfer RNA, 70 nt
Filed under: Datura stramonium (jimsonweed)
Lineage: Eukaryota; Viridiplantae; Streptophyta; Magnoliopsida; Solanales; Solanaceae
Description: tRNA-Leu
Rfam family: tRNA
About the family: Transfer RNA (tRNA) molecules are approximately 80 nucleotides in length. Their secondary structure includes four short double-helical elements and three loops (D, anti-codon, and T loops). Further hydrogen bonds mediate the characteristic L-shaped molecular structure. tRNAs have two regions of fundamental functional importance: the anti-codon, which is responsible for specific mRNA codon recognition, and the 3' end, to which the tRNAs corresponding amino acid is attached (by aminoacyl-tRNA synthetases). tRNAs cope with the degeneracy of the genetic code in two manners: having more than one tRNA (with a specific anti-codon) for a particular amino acid; and 'wobble' base-pairing, i.e. permitting non-standard base-pairing at the 3rd anti-codon position.
Source: RNAcentral